AGCGAACGCUGGCGGCAGGCCUAACACAUGCAAGUCGAACGAACCUUUCGGGGUUAGUGGCGGACGGGUGAGUAACACGUGGGAACGUGCCUUUAAGUUCGGAAUAACUCAGGGAAACUUGUGCUAAUACCGAAUGUGCCCUUCGGGGGAAAGAUUUAUCGCCUUUAGAGCGGCCCGCGUCUGAUUAGCUAGUUGGUUGAGGUAAUGGCUCACCAAGGCGACGAUCAGUAGCUGGUCUGAGAGGAUGAUCAGCCACAGUGGGACUGAGACACGGCCCAAACUCCUACGGGAGGCAGCAGUGGGGAAUCUUGCGCAAUGGGCGAAAGCCUGACGCAGCCAUGCCGCGUGAAUGAUGAAGGUCUUAGGAUUGUAAAAUUCUUUCACCGGGGACGAUAAUGACGGUACCCGGAGAAGAAGCCCCGGCUAACUUCGUG
This 434-nucleotide ribosomal RNA is filed under the name uncultured bacterium. Its description in RNAcentral is "partial 16S ribosomal RNA". It matches the Rfam family "Bacterial small subunit ribosomal RNA", at positions 29 to 507 of the family's 1533-position model. The record is from RNAcentral.